Molecule: ribosomal RNA, 550 nt
Filed under: Bedotia sp. 'Ranomafana'
Lineage: Eukaryota; Metazoa; Chordata; Actinopteri; Atheriniformes; Bedotiidae
Description: partial 16S ribosomal RNA
Rfam family: Bacterial large subunit ribosomal RNA (bases 186-550)
Source: RNAcentral
ACUCAACAGCUAGCCCUCCCAUUUACUUCAACACUCAACUAUUUAUACCCUAAAAAACACUUAAUGAAUUAACCAAACCAUUUUACCGCUUUAGUACAGGAGAUGAAAAAAGAACUAGGCGCAAUAGAAAAAGUACCGCAAGGGAACGCUGAAAAAGAAAUGAAACAACACAGUAAAGUAACAUAAAGCAGAGCUAUCUCCUCGUACCUUUUGCAUCAUGUUUUAGCCAGAGCCCCUCAAGCAAAAAGCAUUUUAGUUUGACUACCCGAAACCAGACGAGCUACUUCAAGAUAGCCUAGUAAAUAGGGCCAACCCGUCUCUGUGGCAAAAGAGUGGGAAAAGCUUCAAGUAGAGGUGAUAAACCUACCGAGCCUGGUUAUAGCUGGUUACCUGAAAAUUGAAUAGAAGUUCAGCCCCUUGAAUUCUCAAGCCCAAACUGGCUACCCUCAGCUAAGACUAAAAGAAAUCUAGGGAGUUAUUCAAAGGGGGUACAGCCCCUUUGAAACAAGACACAACUUUUACAGACGGAUAAGGAUCAAAUUUACCAAGG